CUGUUAUGGCUAGGGGGUCAUUGCGACUUACCAAACCAUUGCAAACUCCGAAUACCGAUGAGUGCGAGCUUGGGAGACAGACGUCGGGUGCUAACGUCCGGCGUCAAGAGGGAAACAACCCAGACCGCCAGCUAAGGUCCCAAAGAUUGGCUAAGUGGAAAACGAAGUGGGAAGGCUAAAACAGUCAGGAUGUUGGCUUAGAAGCAGCCAUCAUUUAAAGAAAGCGUAAUAGCUCACUGAUCGAGUCGUCCUGCGCGGAAGAUGUAACGGGGCUAAGCCAGUCACCGAAGCUGCGGAUAUGCGUAAGCAUAUGGUAGGAGAGCGUUCUGUAAGCCUGCGAAGGUGUCUUGUAAAGGAUGCUGGAGGUAUCAGAAGUGCGAAUGCUGACAUGAGUAGCGAUAAUGGGGGUGAAAAGCCUCCACGCCGUAAGCCCAAGGUUUCCUGUUCAACGUUCAUCGGAGCAGGGUGAGUCGGCCCCUAAGGCGAGGCAGAGAUGCGUAGCUGAUGGGAAGCAGGUUAAUAUUCCUGCACCGUCGUAUGAUGCGAUGGGGGGACGGAUCGCGGAAGGUUGUCUGACUGUUGGAAUAGUCAGUUUCUGUCUCAUAGAAGGCACUUAGGCAAAUCCGGGUGCGCAAUUCAAGGGGAUGGGACGAGUGAAUUUAUUCACGAAGCAAUCGGAAGUGGUUCCAAGAAAAGCCUCUAAGCUUCAGUCAUACGAGACCGUACCGCAAACCGACACAGGUGGGCGAGAUGAGUAUUCUAAGGCGCUUGAGAGAACUCGGGAGAAGGAACUCGGCAAAUUGGUACCGUAACUUCGGGAAAAGGUACGCCCCGGUAGCUUGAUUGGUUUACUCCAUGAGGGUGAAAGGGUUGCAAUAAACUGGUGGCUGCGACUGUUUAAUAAAACACAGCACUCUGCAAACACGAAAGUGGACGUAUAGGGUGUGACGCCUGCCCGGUGCUGGAAGAUUAAAUGAUGGGGUGCAAGCUCUUGAUUGAAGUCCCAGUAAACGGCGGCCGUAACUAUAACGGUCCUAAGGUAGCGAAAUUCCUUGUCGGGUAAGUUCCGACCUGCACGAAU
This 1081-nucleotide ribosomal RNA is filed under the name Janthinobacterium sp. AD80. RNAcentral's name for it is "bacterial LSU rRNA". It matches the Rfam family "Bacterial large subunit ribosomal RNA", at positions 910 to 1997 of the family's 2925-position model. Lineage: Bacteria; Pseudomonadati; Pseudomonadota; Betaproteobacteria; Burkholderiales; Oxalobacteraceae. The record is from RNAcentral.